RNAcentral lists this ribosomal RNA (122 nucleotides) under Giardia duodenalis. Its description in RNAcentral is "Giardia intestinalis partial small subunit ribosomal RNA". The record is from RNAcentral. Lineage: Eukaryota; Fornicata; Diplomonadida; Hexamitidae.
CGUCUUGGCGCCGGGUUGCCAGCGGUGUCCGGCUAGCAGGGACCGCCGCGGGGGGUGCAACCGUUGUCCUGAGCCGUCCGCCGCGUCCCGGGUGAGCGGGCAUGCAUGGCUUCGUCCUUGGG